Molecule: ribosomal RNA, 390 nt
Filed under: Bacillus sp. LA1
Lineage: Bacteria; Bacillati; Bacillota; Bacilli; Caryophanales; Bacillaceae
Description: bacterial SSU rRNA
Rfam family: Bacterial small subunit ribosomal RNA
Source: RNAcentral
AGUUAGCGGCGGACGGGUGAGUAACACGUGGGUAACCUGCCCAUAAGACUGGGAUAACUCCGGGAAACCGGGGCUAAUACCGGAUAACAUUUUGAACUGCAUGGUUCGAAAUUGAAAGGCGGCUUCGGCUGUCACUUAUGGAUGGACCCGCGUCGCAUUAGCUAGUUGGUGAGGUAACGGCUCACCAAGGCAACGAUGCGUAGCCGACCUGAGAGGGUGAUCGGCCACACUGGGACUGAGACACGGCCCAGACUCCUACGGGAGGCAGCAGUAGGGAAUCUUCCGCAAUGGACGAAAGUCUGACGGAGCAACGCCGCGUGAGUGAUGAAGGCUUUCGGGUCGUAAAACUCUGUUGUUAGGGAAGAACAAGUGCUAGUUGAAUAAGCUGCA